AUUGAACGCUGGCGGCAGGCUUAACACAUGCAAGUCGAACGAUGAUUCUCUAGCUUGCUAGUUAUGAUUAGUGGCGGACGGGUGAGUAACAUUUAGGAAUCUGCCUAGUAGUGGGGGAUAGCUCGGGGAAACUCGAAUUAAUCCCGCAAACGACCUACGGGUGAAAGGGGGCGCAAGCACUUGCUAUUAGAUGAGCCUAAGUCAGACUAGCUAGUUGGUGGGGUAAAGGCCCACCAAGGCGACGAUCUGUAACUGGUCUGAGAGGAUGAUCAGUCACACCGGAACAUGGACACGGUCCGGACUCCUACGAGACGCAGCAGUGGGGAAUAUUGGACAAUAGGGGCAACCCUGAUCCAGCCAUGCGACGUGUGUGAAGAAAGCGUUGUGGUUGUAAAGCACUUUAAGCAGGGAGGAGAGGCUAAUAGUUAAUACCCAUUAGAUUAGACGUUACCUGCAGAAUAAGCACCGGCUAACUCUGUG
Molecule: ribosomal RNA, 480 nt
Filed under: uncultured bacterium
Lineage: Bacteria
Description: partial 16S ribosomal RNA
Rfam family: Bacterial small subunit ribosomal RNA
Source: RNAcentral